CUCACCUGGAUGACCUUCGCCCACGGACUCAGAAGUGAACAGGAACGUCCUCUCGUCCAGUAGGCUCUGGUGCAAACCAUUGAUCUGGCCGUUCAUGGUGCUGCUCGGUGUCGGGUUCGGGAAACGGCGCGUCGGAGAUAGACAAUAGACCAUUGACGGCCUCCAUUGUCCUCUGAAGUCGAUGGUAUGGUUGGAGCUCAUGAACACUUCUGCAAUCCAUUGCAUCCACUGUACCGGGGAUUGGUCUAUACAGCUUCUCCAGAGCCCCAUUGGCUGGCCGUACUCGUUUCCACCUCGCGUGACGGGGACUGAGCAACCGCUCAACAAAUGGAAUUUCUCUCUUAGGGCAAAUCCAUUCAGUAAUUAAGCUAUUUUGUCUGUGCAAAGACAAACAUGAGAUUUUAGCUUGAAAUGUCAAGCAUUUCCACCAAAGACGACUGCAGAGGCAAUGUAGUUAUUUAGGUUAGACAAUAGUCUCAGAAAGAAUUGCCUUUGUUGUCUUCAGUUGCAGAAGCAUAAACACAAGAGGUUAUGCAGAUGCUGGAAAUCUUCAGAAUAAAGUUUAAUAUGACCAGGA
Molecule: long non-coding RNA, 577 nt
Organism: Hypanus sabinus (Atlantic stingray)
Lineage: Eukaryota; Metazoa; Chordata; Chondrichthyes; Myliobatiformes; Dasyatidae
Exons: 2
Source: RefSeq, a predicted model, not a curated record